RNAcentral lists this transfer RNA (75 nucleotides) under Chitinophagaceae bacterium. RNAcentral describes it as "tRNA-Val". It matches the Rfam family "tRNA". From Rfam's summary of the family: Transfer RNA (tRNA) molecules are approximately 80 nucleotides in length. Their secondary structure includes four short double-helical elements and three loops (D, anti-codon, and T loops). The record is from RNAcentral. Lineage: Bacteria; Pseudomonadati; Bacteroidota; Chitinophagia; Chitinophagales; Chitinophagaceae. RNAcentral also lists the same sequence under 2 other names.
GGGGUCUUAGCUCAGUUGGUUUAGAGCGCUUGCUUGACAGGCAAGAGGUCGAGAGUUCGAAUCUCUCAGAUCCCA